Long non-coding RNA from Papaver somniferum (opium poppy), 333 nucleotides. RefSeq lists it as uncharacterized. The transcript is spliced from 2 exons. The record is from RefSeq and is a predicted model, not a curated record. Lineage: Eukaryota; Viridiplantae; Streptophyta; Magnoliopsida; Ranunculales; Papaveraceae.
AUCAGAAUUUUGAAAGUGCCUGCUACAACAAAAACACCAUGAAAGCUUCUGAGAUUCAGAUAGAGUGCGAAACCGAGGGGAGAAAUUCGCAGCAGAAGAAAACGAAACCUCAAUUUAGACCAGCUAAAGAUGAUACAAAACCAGUCCUUCGAGAUCCAAUACUGCGAUCUGACCCAAUUGAGACUGAAGAAGCUGUACUACGACUUCCCCCUUUUCCUUUGGUAGGAUUAAAGCCCUAAAUGAGUAAGCCUACUUCUAAUAUGUUGUCAUUGUAGUUGGGCAUGAAAAUGUAUGUAGCUGAAAACAUCAAUACAACACAAUGAAAUUUCAUUA